AACAUCGCGCACCUGCGGGAACCUGCGGAGGGAUCAUUACCGAGUUUACAACUCCCAAACCCCUGUGAACAUACCAAUUGUUGCCUCGGCGGAUCAGCCCGCUCCCGGUAAAACGGGACGGCCCGCCAGAGGACCCCUAAACUCUGUUUCUAUAUGUAACUUCUGAGUAAAACCAUAAAUAAAUCAAAACUUUCAACAACGGAUCU
RNAcentral lists this unclassified non-coding RNA (206 nucleotides) under soil metagenome. RNAcentral's name for it is "partial contains 5.8S ribosomal RNA, internal transcribed spacer 2, and large subunit ribosomal RNA". The record is from RNAcentral.